UUGGAGCCCAGCAAAACCCUCCACACAGCGCUCAGUGCGUACAGACCGUGAACCGCGACCUCCGCACAGGUGGUCGCUCCCGUCUCCGCGGAAAUGUUGUCCAAAGUUCUUCCAGUCCUCCUAGGCAUCUUAUUGAUCCUUCAGUCGAGGUGAGUCUCCAUCCCGGGACCCGGGAGCCCUUCGCGCCCAGCCCCCUCUCCCUGGGAGCAGGGACGGCUCCUGGGAUCCCUGCGGCCCCGCGUUCCUCGAGCCCCGCGCCCGCCUUGCCCCGGCCCUAGCGCGGGCUGGCUGAGUACUGCGUGCCCUCGAUGCGCGCCAGCCUCCGCCCGGUUCACUGUAGGAUGGAUUCCCGGGGUCCUUGAAGGGGAUCUCCAAAAGGAAGACGGGACCCCCGUUCUCGGAUUCCCGCUCUCAGAAGCACUGCGAUGGCCUGGUGACAAGCACUCCUUCUAGGAGUCUUGCGCAGGAACAGGGGAGCAGCCCCGGGGGGGACCGGCCAGGGCAGGCUUCAGCUACUAGGGGGUCGGGGGUGCAUUUCGAGAAGGCGGUGCGCGGGCUGAGGGAGCUUAACUGCGCCAAAAAUGUGUAAGUGUUGCCUCGUCUGUUCUCUGCUGCUCACAUUUUUUUAAGAGUGCCUACUGAGUUCCAGGCACUGCGCCAGGCAACUCUGACUUUCCUUGCUUCCCAUGCCGCUGCUCCUGUUGGUGCCAGUCUCAGGCAGGAGCUUUGGUUUAGUCUAAGGGCUCCCGCACCAGCUAUACCCCUCCCCACUGCUGACAGCCUCCCCCUUCCUUAACUCAUCCCUAGACACCCUGCUGGGCCUUGGGUAGACUGGAGCCAGAGGCCAGGAAUAUUAUUCUCUGAAGUCUGUGGUUUGGGUCCUAGAUUUCAAUCCCCUUCUCCCUUUUCAGCUUUCCCUUGAACAACCAUCUUCCCUCACACCUUCUCCUCGCCCUGAGACUUGGCUAGGAAGGUUGUCCCCUAGAUUUCUCGCUUUUUGGGGUGGAAGAUGACUGCUUCGUUUUGUUGUUGUUGUUGUUGUUGUUGUUGUUGUUGUUGUUGUUUUGAGAUGGUUCCUGCUGGGUGUGAAGUGUCACAAGUUUGCAAGCUUCCUGAUCUGUGGAGCUUUCUUGAAGUUUCCAUGGCACUGGGCUUGUGUCUUGUUUAUCUGUUGUGGGGAGCGGGGGUGACUUCUUUCCCUACCCGAGAUUGCGUUAGCUCUUCAGAGAAGGGGAUGUGUGGCUCCCUGCUGGCUCACUGAUGCCCUGGAGUGGGGCUAGCCUCAGCAAGGGCUUGGUAAAUGUUUUUCUAUGCGUGCUAGCAAUUUCCAGUCAUCCACAUCCCUCCAAAUGGAAUUUGGACUAGUUGAGAAAGCUGACAUGGUGACUGGCUAGGGCAAAAGAUGGCUCUGGGAUGGGGGAAAUAAGAAGUGGGGGGGGGGUCAGAGAGGAAAACAGCAGGGAAAGGGGGCUGGGGAAAUGGAAACUACUCUUCAAGCAUAGCAACCUGUGGUGCUAGGAAAGAGCUGGGGAGGUGACAAUGGGGUGUACUGGGCCACAGUGAACCACAAGACCUCUCUCUGGUCCAGGCUUAGCCUCAAAUUAUUUGUGUGACUUGGGGCACAGUCCUUCCUCUCUCUGGGCCUCACUUGGUUCAUCUGUAUAAUGAAAAAGAGAUCUGAUUUAGAUAAAAAUCCAACAUCUUUUCUUAUGCCCCCCACCCCCACCCCACUUCUCACGACACCAGCAGUCGACUGUUUGGGAGGGGGUAGUGCAGAGAUUCAACUUCAUGCUGGACCAUUGUGUCUGGAGACAUGUGAAUGCCUGAAAAACUCCCCUGGAAAAUUCCACUAUUCCAAUGUAUGAGUGUUUUUCAAGUUUUUAUUCUUUCUAGCCCCGAAAGUGAGCUUAAUGGCUGACUGGGGAAAGGUAUGCAUUGUCAGCAGCUCUUUAACCCCAAAGACCUCAGGAUGAGGUUUUAUUUUGUUUGUUUGUUUGUUUUUAACUGGCAAAAGCCAAUUUUAGGAUUAAAGCCACCUUAUGACCCUCUGCUAUCAUUUUCAUUGCAGACCUAGUCUAGGGGCAGGAGGGAUUUGGUGGUCUCGGUGCUUUCGGGUUUAUCUGUUUGCCUCUGCACUUUUAAACAUGGGGCAGCUGGGAGGAUCUUGUCCAUGGAUUUCAGACAUCUGGGAGGGGCUGCUUCAGGCUUUUAGGUGGUCCUGUCUGGCAGUGCUCAGUCUACCACUGCUGCCGGUUCUGAUUGUGCCAUGUUUCCAGCCACAUCACUUAUUUUGCAGGGUCUCAGGUCUCCAUUUUCCCUCCUCACUUCCCAUAGUCACUGGCCCUUAUCUUUUGAGAUGGCUGGGAAUUUGGCCUCAGGAAAAGAAGACAUCUUCUAAAUAUGGCAUUUGAAAGUAGAAACUGUAUUUUCGAAGUCCAGUUCUUCCCCAGCCCACAAUGGGAAGUAGCCACUUCAGACAUGAGAAAUGGUGUGGAUUUGGCACAUCUGUAUGCCACUUAAGCAAUUCUAACAGCUUGAAAUACUGCAGAAAAAUGCAUUUUGCUGCCCAAGUUGGCAGUCCCUUGGUCUGCAAUACAGGGAUCAUGCCAAUGUCUCUUGCCCUGUUUACCCCUUAUUUUAGGAAACAAAUUGCCUUAUGGCUUAAAAAAAAACAUUUUGGAAGUAUGACAUGCCAGUAUAAAAGCAUAGACAUCAUGAGUGAACAGCUCAGUGGAUUUUCACAAAGUAAACAGACCCAUGUAACCAACACCUAGAUCAGGAAAUACAGCAUUGCAAUCCCCUUACCACACACACACACACACACACACACAUCUCCAAAAUGCUUGUCCCUGUACACUUUCCUCCCCAAAGGAAACCACUCUCCUGCCUUUCAAUAUCACAGAUUAAUAUGGGAUGAUGGCUUUUUAAAAGACUUUUAAUUAUAUAUUUUUUAAAGACAUAUAAAGGCAGAGGGAACAGUACACGGAAUCUCCAUGUAGCCAUCCCCACCCCCAUUGUUUGUGAAUUCAUGGCCACUCUUAUUUUCUUUUACCCCACCCACUCUCCAAUUCCGACUUAGAUUGUCUUGAAGCAUAUCUCAGACAUCAUAUCAUUUUAUAUGUAAUUGUUUUAGUAUGUAUUUCUAGUCAUUAAAGAUUUCACAAGCAUAAGAAAAUACCAUAAUUACACCAAAAAUUUAAGAAUAAUUUAUUCAUGCCUCAACUAUCCGCUCAGUGUUCAAAUCUCUCCUGUUAUGUCAUAAAUGAUUUCUGUUUGUUUUUUAAGAGUUUGCUUUUAAAUAAAAUGAGAUCCAGAUAUUAGCAGGUGGGGCAUUUUGAUUUUUUACAACACGUUUUUAUGGAAUUAGAACAUGUAUACAGAAAAGUGCUCAAAUCAUAAGUGUACAGUUGAUGAGUUGUCAGAAUAUGACCACAGCGGUGUAAAGAAAGCCAAAUCAAGAACCCGAACGUGAGCAGGACCUCAGAAGCCCCCUUUGUCACUGCCUCCCAGCAAAGGCAGCACUAUCCGGACUUCUAACACCAUCGGGUCGAGGGACCUCAGACUGAAUCAAAGAAUGAAGCCUCUGCCCAUGAUGUCAUCUAUGGACCCCCGCCCCAGCCUCUGGAAAAUAAGCUCUUCUCUGAGGAAACAAAGUCAACUAAGACCGAGACUGGGCGCAGAGCUGGUAAACUGCCAGAAGCCUCUCGCAUCCUGAACACUAUCCUGAGUAAUUAUGACCACAAACUGCGCCCUGGCCUUGGAGAGAAGCCCACUGUGGUCACUGUUGAGAUCUCCGUCAACAGCCUUGGUCCUCUCUCUAUCCUGGACAUGGAAUACACCAUUGACAUCAUCUUCUCCCAGACCUGGUACGACGAACGCCUCUGUUACAACGACACCUUUGAGUCUCUUGUUUUGAACGGCAAUGUGGUGAGCCAGCUGUGGAUCCCGGACACCUUUUUUAGGAAUUCUAAGAGGACUCACGAGCAUGAGAUCACCAUGCCCAACCAGAUGGUCCGCAUAUACAAGGAUGGCAAGGUGUUGUACACAAUUAGGAUGACCAUUGAUGCUGGAUGCUCACUCCACAUGCUCAGAUUUCCAAUGGAUUCUCACUCUUGCCCUCUAUCUUUCUCUAGCUAAUGAACCUCAAGGCCAUUCAUGGACUGGACCCUGCCGCCCAAUCCUGUGCACCUCAUCCUCUGUGAGCUAGCCAUCCUGAACUUUUGGCCUUUCCACAAUACACCAGGUGGUUCACCUUUCUAUGCUGCCCCUUAACACCUCCAAACUCAUUCUUAUUGAGAAUAUUUACUUGAGUUUCAAGAUUUAAUGGGAGUAUCACCUGCCUUGUGAAGUCUUUUCUGCAUAUGUCCCCAAGUGAUCUUUAUCUACUUUGUUUCCCCACUGUUCCGUGGACAUAGGUUUUUCAGAGCUCCUCCAAAAAUCACAGUAGUAUACUCACUGUCUUAUAAAAUUAAAUGUGAUUGCUUAAGGGUAGGGUUCAUGCCUUGCUCAUCUCUGUAUUUCCAGCCCAGGGCCUGAUACUGAGGAAUGCUCAGUAAACACAUUCAUUGAAUGGACUUCAACAAUGAGGUAGGAGAGGCAAGGUCCCACAGCUGGCAAGGCCAGAAACAGGACUCCGAGGCAUUGUGCAGGCUGACUCCAUGCUAUUGGAGACCU
This is an RNA transcript of Cercocebus atys (sooty mangabey), 4674 nucleotides long. It is a transcript of the gene named gamma-aminobutyric acid (GABA) A receptor, epsilon, with no coding region annotated. The record is from RefSeq and is a predicted model, not a curated record. NCBI's taxonomy places the organism in Eukaryota, Metazoa, Chordata, Mammalia, Primates, Cercopithecidae. The transcript is spliced from 6 exons.